AUAAAAGGGCAGAGGUUUCUAGCUGGCUGUCUCUUGUUUGUUGGUACACAGACCCGCCCCACUUGCGUGUUUGCCGUGUUUGCUUCCGCCACCGGUGCAGUGGUGGAUCCUCCGGGUGCAGCCUGUCAACGCAGCCAUAGAAAGCAUGAAGCUCUCUCCUCUCUGCGUCAUCGAUAGGAAAGCCUGAUCGGGCCAAUCCAAUGAUUAAGGGACAUCUGCUGUUUUGCUUCACCGGAUAAAGUGUAUUUAUCGGCACAACUGCUGUUGAUCCUGCCUAAAUGUUUGGGCUGCUGCUACUGUGUUGCUGCUUCUGAUUGCUGCUUCUGGCCAGCUUUGCGUCGCCUACUGCGGAGGCUCGCUCACCAGUUAA
Trematomus bernacchii (emerald rockcod) is the source of this 370-nucleotide long non-coding RNA. RefSeq lists it as uncharacterized. The transcript is spliced from 3 exons. The record is from RefSeq and is a predicted model, not a curated record. Lineage: Eukaryota; Metazoa; Chordata; Actinopteri; Perciformes; Nototheniidae.